GCAGGCUCUCUCCCCGCCCCCGCGGGGCGGCGCGCACUCACCCACCCGCGCCGGAGCGGACCUUUGGCUUGGCUUGUCAGGGCUUGUCCAGGAGUUCCGCUCCUCUCUCCAACCGGGGUCCCCCUCCAGCGACCCUAAAGCUUCCCAGACUUCCGCUUCAAUUCCUGUCCGCCCCCCCACGCCCACCUCAACGUGGAGCGCAGUGGUCUCCGAGGAGCGCCGGAGCUGCCCCGCCUGCCCAGCGGGGUCAGCACUUCGCAUCAAGGCCCAAGAAAAGCAAGUCCUCCAGCGUUCUGAGCACCCAGGCCUGAGGGAAGGUCCUAACAGCCCCCGGGAGCCAGUCUCCAACGCCUCCCGCAGCAGCCCGCCGCUCCCAGGUGCCCGCGUGCGCCGCUGCCGCCGCAAUCCCACACGCGUCCCGCGCCCGCCCCACUUUGCCUAUCCCCGGGACUAAGACGGGGCUAGAGAGCAUAAGCACUGCCUGCAGCCUAACAUCUUGGCUUCUCCAUGAAGAAUACCAUAUUUUUUAAACUUUCCAGAAAAUAACUGAAAAGGAAUCAUUGGAUCAGGCUCUCCCCUCCCAUGGUCUCCCAUUACUGCCUCUGAUCAGGUCUGAAGAAAAGAAACUUGGAAAGACUUGCCCAAAGUCACACAGUUACUAGGUAACAGAAGUGAACUUCCAAAGCCUAUGCUGAAUCCAUUUCCUCUUCAGUUACCUCAGUGGCCUUAUCAUCAAGAUGUAAACUCCCUAA
Pan troglodytes (chimpanzee) is the source of this 752-nucleotide long non-coding RNA. RefSeq lists it as uncharacterized. NCBI's taxonomy places the organism in Eukaryota, Metazoa, Chordata, Mammalia, Primates, Hominidae. The record is from RefSeq and is a predicted model, not a curated record. The transcript has 3 exons.